UGAAGUCGGAAUCGCUAGUAAUCGCGGAUCAGCAUGCCGCGGUGAAUACGUUCUCGGGUCUUGUACACACCGCCCGUCACACCAUGGAAGUGGAUUGCACCAGAAGUAGAUAGUCUAACCUUCGGGAGGGCGUUUACCACGGUGUGCUUCAUGACUGGGGUGAAGUCGUAACAAGGUAGCCGUAGGGGAACCUGUGGC
This 198-nucleotide ribosomal RNA is filed under the name uncultured gamma proteobacterium CHAB-IV-40. RNAcentral describes it as "partial 16S ribosomal RNA". It matches the Rfam family "Bacterial small subunit ribosomal RNA", at positions 1321 to 1518 of the family's 1533-position model. The record is from RNAcentral. Lineage: Bacteria; Pseudomonadati; Pseudomonadota; Gammaproteobacteria.